CCUACGGGACGCAGCAGUAGGGAAUCUUCCACAAUGGACGAAAGUCUGAUGGUGCAACGCCGCGUGAGUGAAGAAGGGUUUCGGCUCGUAAAGCUCUGUUGGUAGUGAAGAAAGAUAGAGGUAGUAACUGGCUUUUAUUUGACGGUAAUUACUUAGGAAGUCACGGCUAACUACGUGCCAGCAGCCGCGGUAAUACGUAGGUGGCAAGCGUUGUCCGGAUUUAUUGGGCGUAAAGCGAGUGCAGGCGGUUCAAUAAGUCUUAUUUGUAAGACUUCGGGUCAAACCGGGAAAU
This 292-nucleotide ribosomal RNA is filed under the name uncultured bacterium. RNAcentral describes it as "partial 16S ribosomal RNA". It matches the Rfam family "Bacterial small subunit ribosomal RNA", at positions 338 to 621 of the family's 1533-position model. The record is from RNAcentral.